CAUUUUUACAGUGUGUGAAGCGUAUGGAAAGCGAUUUAUGAGACGAUUGCUUUUAGAAACCAAACAAACGAGCACGUUCUUUCUAAUAUAGCCUAAACAGCUGAUGGUCAAGGAAAUAUUUAGCGGUGUGUGAUUCAAUCGAUUGAAGCCUUUGACAGAUGAGAGACAUUAGGCUGUUUUAAUGAAGAUGCACAGCCUAUAACAAGCCUGCAGUAUCACCGACACGCGCAAGGUCAUCACUGACAUUUACAUCAAACGGUGUCGCGUCUUCCGUUCAGGUUAAACGUUUGUGAGACAGAGAAAGGCGCGGUUUAAAAACGACAAUUCACUUAAAUGUCGUGACUGGGUGAAGCAAACUGAAAUAGCGUGAACGCAAUAACGUUUUGCCGCUUAUAGAUCGAGUCUGCUGUGAAGGUUCACUGCCACUCUCGCGCGCCACUCACGACGUGACACAUUUGUAUUUUCUUCCUGGAUACUCCAAGAUGACGGAAUCGACAUCUGCAAGUUAUGCUGAUUUCGUGCAAAACUGCAUUUAUCGUAUAGCACCAUGGGCAGACAAUAAAAGGGAAUAGUUCCUGUUUGAUUUCAGUAGGCUGUAUUUUAUCACCCUAAACGGACUAUCCAUCUUUCAACAUGAUAGAUGAGCGAAUCAUUUGGAGGAACUUUUUCACGCCUACACCUGACGAUCUGCCUAGACUUUUGCGAAAUGGGUCAACCGAGGAACCGAUUUGGACCACCGCCGUGGCGCACAUAGGACGUCCAGACUCCAAACUGCCGAGUUUAUCCACAUAUCUUGGACUUUUUGUGUGUUUGCUGCUGUUUCUUUUGGCCCUAAUGAUUGUGAUGCUUUACCGGAUGAAACACACUAUCGCUCCAUUACCGUCAGACGUGGAGAGCGCGGGGCAAACAGAGAUGUUUCCUGAGGAUGCGAGCGAAGUAUCCAUCUAUUCGGCUGACUGAUCUCAUCCAACCUUCAUUUGUCACUAAUGUGUGGAAGGCCUGUAUUUUGUGUGUUUGACGAAAUAUUUGAUUGCAAAACAAAUGUAAAGCUACUGGAGAAUAUUAAUUUAUAUCAAAUGUAAUACUUUCAUUCUGUUCUGUUUGUCCAGUUCUGAGUGGAGUAUGUGAAUAUGAGUGUGUAUAUGGGUGAAUCUAAUGAAAAAAUCUGGCCCGUAUUUUACCCCAUAGGAAAGAAAGAAAAUAAAUUAUAUUUUGCAUGAACAAAAUUAAGCUGAUCAUACAUAUAUAUAUAUAUAUAUAUAUAUAUAUAUAUAUAUAUAUAUAUAUA
Long non-coding RNA from Cyprinus carpio carpio, 1288 nucleotides. The record is from Ensembl. NCBI's taxonomy places the organism in Eukaryota, Metazoa, Chordata, Actinopteri, Cypriniformes, Cyprinidae.